GGCGAAAGAUUUAUCGGCUUAAGAUGAGCCCGCGUUGGAUUAGCUAGUUGGUGGGGUAAAGGCCUACCAAGGCGACGAUCCAUAGCUGGUCUGAGAGGAUGAUCAGCCACACUGGGACUGAGACACGGCCCAGACUCCUACGGGAGGCAGCAGUGGGGAAUAUUGGACAAUGGGCGGAAGCCUGAUCCAGCCAUGCCGCGUGAGUGAAGAAGGCCUUAGGGUUGUAAAGCUCUUUCACCGGUGAAGAUAAUGACGGUAACCGGAGAAGAAGCCCCGGCUAACUUCGUGCCAGCAGCCGCGGUAAUACGAAGGGGGCUAGCGUUGUUCGGAUUUACUGGGCGUAAAGCGCGCGUAGGCGGAUAG
RNAcentral lists this ribosomal RNA (363 nucleotides) under uncultured Hyphomicrobiales bacterium. Its description in RNAcentral is "bacterial SSU rRNA". It matches the Rfam family "Bacterial small subunit ribosomal RNA", at positions 199 to 582 of the family's 1533-position model. The record is from RNAcentral. Lineage: Bacteria; Pseudomonadati; Pseudomonadota; Alphaproteobacteria; Hyphomicrobiales.